Molecule: ribosomal RNA, 649 nt
Filed under: Rhodococcus sp. (in: high G+C Gram-positive bacteria)
Lineage: Bacteria; Bacillati; Actinomycetota; Actinomycetes; Mycobacteriales; Nocardiaceae
Description: bacterial SSU rRNA
Rfam family: Bacterial small subunit ribosomal RNA
Source: RNAcentral
UGCCCUGCACUCUGGGAUAAGCCAGGGAAACUGGGUCUAAUACCGGAUAUGACUGCAUGCCGCAUGGUGUGUGGUGGAAAGCUUUAUGUGGUGCAGGAUGGGCCCGCGGCCUAUCAGCUUGUUGGUGGGGUAAUGGCCUACCAAGGCGACGACGGGUAGCCGACCUGAGAGGGUGACCGGCCACACUGGGACUGAGACACGGCCCAGACUCCUACGGGAGGCAGCAGUGGGGAAUAUUGCACAAUGGGCGGAAGCCUGAUGCAGCGACGCCGCGUGAGGGAUGAAGGCCUUCGGGUUGUAAACCUCUUUCAGCAGGGACGAAGCGCAAGUGACGGUACCUGCAGAAGAAGCACCGGCUAACUACGUGCCAGCAGCCGCGGUAAUACGUAGGGUGCGAGCGUUGUCCGGAAUUACUGGGCGUAAAGAGUUCGUAGGCGGUUUGUCGCGUCGUUUGUGAAAACCCGGGGCUCAACUUCGGGCUUGCAGGCGAUACGGGCAGACUUGAGUGUUUCAGGGGAGACUGGAAUUCCUGGUGUAGCGGUGAAAUGCGCAGAUAUCAGGAGGAACACCGGUGGCGAAGGCGGGUCUCUGGGAAACAACUGACGCUGAGGAACGAAAGCGUGGGUAGCAAACAGGAUUAGAUACCCUG